AGCGAACGCUGGCGGCAGGCUUAACACAUGCAAGUCGAGCGGGCAUCUUCGGAUGUCAGCGGCAGACGGGUGAGUAACACGUGGGAACGUACCCUUCGGUUCGGAACAACUCUGGGAAACUGGAGCUAAUACCGGAUACGCCCUUAUGGGGAAAGGUUUACUGCCGAAGGAUCGGCCCGCGACUGAUUAGCUAGUUGGUGGGGUAACGGCCUACCAAGGCGACGAUCAGUAGCUGGUCUGAGAGGAUGAUCAGCCACACUGGGACUGAGACACGGCCCAGACUCCUACGGGAGGGAGCAGUGGGGAAUAUUGGACGAUGGGCGCAAGCCUGAUCCAGCCAUGCCGCGUGAGUGAUGAAGGCCUUAGGGUUGUAAAGCUCUUUUGUCCGGGACGAUAAUGACGGUACCGGAAGAAUAAGCCCCGGCUAACUUCGUG
This 435-nucleotide ribosomal RNA is filed under the name uncultured bacterium. RNAcentral describes it as "partial 16S ribosomal RNA". It matches the Rfam family "Bacterial small subunit ribosomal RNA", at positions 29 to 507 of the family's 1533-position model. The record is from RNAcentral.